AACCUCCGCAAUGUGAGAAAUCGCGACGGGGGGAUCCCAAGUGCCAUUCUUAACGGGAUGGCUUUUCAUUAGUGUAAAGAGCUUUUGGAAUAAGAGCUGGGCAAGACCGGUGCCAGCCGCCGCGGUAACACCGGCAGCUCUAGUGGUAGCAAUUUUUAUUGGGCCUAAAGCGUCCGUAGCCGGUUUAAUAAGUCUCUGGUGAAAUCCUGCAGCUUAACUGUGGGAAUUGCUGGAGAUACUAUUAGACUUGAGAUCGGGAGAGGUUAGAGGUACUCCCAGGGUAGAGGUGAAAUUCUGUAAUCCUGGGAGGACCACCUGUGGCGAAGGCGGCUAACUGGAACGAACCUGACGGUGAGGGACGAAAGCUAGGGGCGCGAACCGGAUUAGAUACCCGGGUAGUCCUAGCCGUAAACGAUGCGGACUUGGUGUUGGGAUGGCUUUGAGCCGCUCCGGUGCCGAAGGGAAGCUGUUAAGUCCGCCGCCUGGGAAGUACGGUCGCAAGACUGAAACUUAAAGGAAUU
Molecule: ribosomal RNA, 521 nt
Filed under: uncultured bacterium
Lineage: Bacteria
Description: bacterial SSU rRNA
Rfam family: Archaeal small subunit ribosomal RNA
Source: RNAcentral